RNAcentral lists this ribosomal RNA (608 nucleotides) under Thelephora terrestris. Its description in RNAcentral is "eukaryotic LSU rRNA". The stretch from base 221 to 375 matches the Rfam family "5.8S ribosomal RNA". Lineage: Eukaryota; Fungi; Basidiomycota; Agaricomycetes; Thelephorales; Thelephoraceae. The record is from RNAcentral.
UGCGGAAGGAUCAUUACUGAGUUGUUGACACGAGCUGUUGCUGGUCCUCAAAACAAGGGGGCAUGUGCACGCUCUGUUUACACAUCCACUCACACCUGUGCACCCCCGUGGUUCUAUGGUCUGGAGGACUUUUUGUCCUCUUCCUGUAGUUCUACGUCUUUACACAUACACCUUAGUGAAGUCUUAUGGAAUGUGCGCUGCGUCUAACGCAAUACAAUACAACUUUCAGCAACGGAUCUCUUGGCUCUCGCAUCGAUGAAGAACGCAGCGAAAUGCGAUAAGUAAUGUGAAUUGCAGAAUUCAGUGAAUCAUCGAAUCUUUGAACGCACCUUGCGCCUCUUGGCUAUUCCGAGGGGCAUGCCUGUUUGAGUAUCAUGAACACCUCAACUCUUAUGGUUUCCCCAUGAUGAGCUUGGACUUCUGGAGGUUUGCUGGCCCAUGGUCAGCUCCUCUCAAAUUGAUCAGCUUACCAGUGUUUGGUGGCGUCACAGGUGUGAUAAACAUCUACGCUUGUGGCCAUCUUCCAGGUAACCUUCAGUAAUGGAGGUUUGCUGGGGCUUAUAAAUGUCUCUCCUCUGUGAAGACAGCUUUUGAACGUUCGAUCUCAA